UAACACGUGGGAACGUACCCUUUGGUUCGGGACAACUCUGGGAAACUGGAGCUAAUACCGGAUACGCCCUUUUGGGGAAAGGUUUACUGCCGAAGGAUCGGCCCGCGUCUGAUUAGCUAGUUGGUGGGGUAACGGCCUACCAAGGCGACGAUCAGUAGCUGGUCUGAGAGGAUGAUCAGCCACACUGGGACCGAGACACGGCCCAGACUCCUACGGGAGGCAGCAGUGGGGAAUAUUGGACAAUGGGCGCAAGCCUGAUCCAGCCAUGCCGCGUGAGUGAUGAAGGCCUUAGGGUUGUAAAGCUCUUUUAUCCGGGACGAUAAUGACGGUACCGGAGGAAUAAGCCCCGGCUAACUUCGUGCCAGCAGCCGCGGUAAUACGAAGGGGGCUAGCGUUGCUCGGAAUCACUGGGCGUAAAGGGCGCGUAGGCGGCGUUUUAAGUCGGGGGUGAAAGCCUGUGGCUCAACCACAGAAUGGCCUUCGAUACUGGGACGCUUGAGUCUGGUAGAGGUUGGUGGAACUGCGAGUGUAGAGGUGAAAUUCGUAGAUAUUCGCAAGAACACCGGUGGCGAAGGCGGCCAACUGGACCGGCACUGACGCUGAGGCGCGAAAGCGUGGGGAGCAAACAGGAUUAGAUACCCUGGUAGUCCACGCUGUAAACGAUGAAUGCUAGCUGUUGGGAUGCAUGCAUCUCAGUAGCGCAGCUAACGC
This 711-nucleotide ribosomal RNA is filed under the name uncultured bacterium. RNAcentral describes it as "bacterial SSU rRNA". It matches the Rfam family "Bacterial small subunit ribosomal RNA", at positions 111 to 858 of the family's 1533-position model. The record is from RNAcentral.